Molecule: ribosomal RNA, 308 nt
Filed under: Necturus alabamensis (Alabama waterdog)
Lineage: Eukaryota; Metazoa; Chordata; Amphibia; Caudata; Proteidae
Description: partial 16S ribosoaml RNA
Source: RNAcentral
UUAUAAAAUAUAUAAUUAAACUUCACUAUAACUAUUGAGUUAAUCUAUUUAAUAGAUGAAAUUAUGCUGAAAUAAGUAACAAGAAUUAUUUCUAAUUUUGCAUGUGUAAAUCAGAAUGAAAAAUCACUGAUAAUUAACGAAUAAAAAUAAAAAAAGUACAAGAAAUAUAUAUAAAAUAAAUCGUUAACCCGACACAGGAGCAUAGUUAAGAUUAAAAAUUUAGAAAGGAACUCGGCAAACACGACGUUCGCCUGUUUACCAAAAACAUCGCCUCUUGCACAAUAAGUAUAAGAGGUACUGCCUGCCNA